GUGCGCGCUUGUAGCAAUACAAGUGGCGCACGGCGCACGGGUGCGUAACACGUGGGUAACCUGCCCUUUGGUGGGGAAUAACCUCGCGAAAGCGAGGCUAAUUCCGCAUAAGAUCCGCAAGGAUGAAAGCCGCAAGGCGCCGAAGGAGGGGCCCGCGCACGAUUAGUUAGUUGGUAGGGUAACGGCCUACCAAGACUAUGAUCGUUACCUGGUCUGAGAGGAUGGCCAGCCACACUGGAACUGAGACACGGUCCAGACUCCUACGGGAGGCAGCACUGGGGAAUCUUGCGCAAUGGGCGAAAGCCUGACGCACCGACGCCGCGUGGGGGAUGAAACUUCUCGGAGUGUAAACCCCUUU
This 358-nucleotide ribosomal RNA is filed under the name uncultured bacterium. Its description in RNAcentral is "bacterial SSU rRNA". It matches the Rfam family "Bacterial small subunit ribosomal RNA", at positions 66 to 436 of the family's 1533-position model. The record is from RNAcentral.